AAACAAUAUUUUGUGCCGAUUACAUCGCUGGAAUAAUUUCAACAUUACAAAUUUUUAAAAUUAUAUUUGCCUUACCUUUGCACUUUUAACGCGCUUUUAUAUUUAUUAAUUUAUUUUAUCAAGUAAAUACCAACAAAUCACGCAUAUAUAGUACACAGUGCCGUCAAUCAACAUUUAAAAUUUUAACCAACAUAACGUGUUCCUAAAAAAAUUAGUAACGUGUAGAUGUCGCUAUAAAGUGUAUACAUAUAUUCUUGAUCAGCGACAUCUGCCGAGGCGAUAUAAAAGAUGAGAACGAUAUCGAAGUCGACGAUGCGGGAUGUUUAAAAGUGAAAUAACGAAGCACAAAAUCAAAUGCAGAGAUAUCGCAUAUUACAUUUUUUUGAAAAUUCAAUUAUCCAUGAAGGAUUUUAUUUAACUAUUUUUAAAUGCCCAAUGAAGAGAGUAAAAGUGUUGCCACAAAUUGAAACUUAGAAAUAUCGGUGAUCUAUUACUAAGUGCGGCCAAAAAUGAAAUGCUUUCCAGAUAUUUGAAAAUAUUGUAAAAAAAAGUCGCACAAAAAUAUGCUUCCGAACUGAAGCUGACAAAGCAAAUAGUCAAGGCCGAAAGUGAGCUGAAACUGUCGCAGAAAAGUGAAAAACUUGCCAAAACAAUUGGAAGAACUUCAAGCACAAUUGGAAAACCUGAAGGAAGAACUCAGUGCGCUCUUCUGCUCUUUCAGCUGAAAGAGCAGAAGGUCGCACUCGAACCGGAAAAUAAGG
Molecule: long non-coding RNA, 761 nt
Organism: Drosophila sulfurigaster albostrigata
Lineage: Eukaryota; Metazoa; Arthropoda; Insecta; Diptera; Drosophilidae
Exons: 4
Source: RefSeq, a predicted model, not a curated record